GAUGAACGCUGGCGGCGUGCUUAACACAUGCAAGUCGAACGGAAAGGCCCAAGCUUGCUUGGGUACUCGAGUGGCGAACGGGUGAGUAACACGUGGGUGAUCUGCCCUGCACUUCGGGAUAAGCCUGGGAAACUGGGUCUAAUACCGGAUAGGACGAUGGUUUGGAUGCCAUUGUGGAAAGUUUUUUCGGUGUGGGAUGAGCUCGCGGCCCAUCAGCUUGUUGGUGGGGUAAUGGCCUACCAAGGCGUCGACGGGUAGCCGGCCUGAGAGGGUGUACGGCCACAUUGGGACUGAGAUACGGCCCAGACUCCUACGGGAGGCAGCAGUGGGGAAUAUUGCACAAUGGGCGCAAGCCUGAUGCAGCGACGCCGCGUGGGGGAUGACGGCCUUCGGGUUGUAAACUCCUUUCGCUAGGGACGAAGCGUUUUUGUGACGGUACCUGGAGAAGAAGCACCGGCUAACUACGUG
Molecule: ribosomal RNA, 468 nt
Filed under: uncultured bacterium
Lineage: Bacteria
Description: partial 16S ribosomal RNA
Rfam family: Bacterial small subunit ribosomal RNA
Source: RNAcentral